This 254-nucleotide ribosomal RNA is filed under the name uncultured bacterium. RNAcentral's name for it is "partial 16S ribosomal RNA". It matches the Rfam family "Bacterial small subunit ribosomal RNA", at positions 524 to 776 of the family's 1533-position model. The record is from RNAcentral.
CACGUAGGGUGCGAGCGUUGUCCGGAAUUAUUGGGCGUAAAGAGCUCGUAGGCGGUUGGGUAAGUCGGGUGUGAAAACUCCAGGCUCAACUUGGAGACGCCACCCGAUACUGCUCUGACUUGAGUUCGGUAGGGGAGUGGGGAAUUCCUGGUGUAGCGGUGAAAUGCGCAGAUAUCAGGAGGAACACCGGUGGCGAAGGCGCCACUCUGGGCCGAAACUGACGCUGAGGAGCGAAAGCGUGGGUAGCAAACAGG